Long non-coding RNA from Myotis davidii, 821 nucleotides. RefSeq lists it as uncharacterized. The record is from RefSeq and is a predicted model, not a curated record. The transcript is spliced from 5 exons. NCBI's taxonomy places the organism in Eukaryota, Metazoa, Chordata, Mammalia, Chiroptera, Vespertilionidae.
ACUAUCACUCUUGAACUGCAGUUUUUCUACAACCAGUGGAAAUAUAGAACUUCUUGCUAUUAGUGCGAGUUUGUUGCUAUUUUUUUGUUGUUGUUGUUUUCUUGGAUUCCUUUCCCUCGUUUAUGUUUCAGAUAUGAAUAAAAGCCCAUGCAUGGAAUCUGGUAACAUUCCACAUUGAGUCAUAAACAACAUGUAGCCAAACUUCAGUUUUCCUGGGCUGUUAAUCAGAAGUUUCACUUUCAAAUGACCCCCUGCCUUUGCUGCUCAAAUGGAUAACAGAAAGAGAAGGUGCAGAUACCUCUUUGUGCAGGACCCACCCCCUGCACCUGAGGGCAGGGAUUGUGUUUGUUUUCCUGGGGCAGUGCUUUGAGGUGCCUCCCUCCCAGAAACCCACAGUUCAGAAGGAAAGUGAGAGCAGGUGAGGGCCACCUACUGGAGGAUGAGAGACCAUGUAGCACAGACUCGAGUCCUCCCAGCUGAGGCCAUCCUAGACCAGCCUGUUCCAGCCGACCUGAGAGACCUGAGAGCUGACCACAGACAUAUAAGGACCAGCCAGGUGCCAGGCUCUGUGAGAAAUAAGGACCAAAUACCUGCUCACGAGAAGUGAUAUGCUAAUUGGGAAGGCUGUGUUCUAGAAAAUUUUGCAUGAUGAGAUGCAGGAAAAGGAUUGAGAAUGUUAUUGUGCCCUCUGCCUAAGGAGACUUUCCAAAUAAAAGUCCAAAGACAUCUCUUAAUCAGUAGGUGCAGUUCUGGAGAAGAAUCCUCUCAAUGAACACUUCUAUUUACUAAUGUUCACAAACCAGAUAUACAAUCAUAAUAAU